CCCUUAGAUGUUCUGGGCCGCACGCGCGCUACACUGAUGCAUUCAACGAGUCCAACCUUGACCGAGAGGUCCGGGUAAUCUUUGAAACUGCAUCGUGAUGGGGCUAGAUUAUUGCAAUUAUUAAUCUUCAACGAGGAAUGCCUAGUAAGCGUGAUUCAUCAAAUCGCGUUGAUUACGUCCCUGCCCUUUGUACACACCGCCCGUCGCUCCUACCGAUUGAGUGUGUUGGUGAGGAGUUUGGAUUGGCCUCGGAAGGUGGUUCGCCACCGUCCGUAGCUGAGAAGUUCUCCAAACCGCCCCACUUAGAGGAAGGAGANGUCGUAACA
This 326-nucleotide ribosomal RNA is filed under the name uncultured eukaryote. RNAcentral's name for it is "partial 18S ribosomal RNA". It matches the Rfam family "Eukaryotic small subunit ribosomal RNA", at positions 1470 to 1796 of the family's 1831-position model. The record is from RNAcentral.